GGUGAACGCUGGCGGCGUGCCUAAUACAUGCAAGUCGAGCGAAUGGAUUAAGAGCUUGCUCUUAUGAAGUUAGCGGCGGACGGGUGAGUAACACGCGGGUAACCUGCCCAUAAGACUGGGAUAACUCCGGGAAACCGGGGCUAAUACCGGAUAACAUUUUGAACCGCAUGGUUCGAAAUUGAAAGGCGGCUUCGGCUGUCACUUAUGGAUGGACCCGCGUCGCAUUAGCUAGUUGGUGAGGUAACGGCUCACCAAGGCAACGAUGCGUAGCCGACCUGAGAGGGUGAUCGGCCACACUGGGACUGAGACACGGCCCAGACUCCUACGGGAGGCAGCAGUAGGGAAUCUUCCGCAAUGGACGAAAGUCUGACGGAGCAACGCCGCGUGAGUGAUGAAGGCUUUCGGGUCGUAAAACUCUGUUGUUAGGGAAGAACAAGUGCUAGUUGAAUAAGCUGGCACCUUGACGGUACCUAACCAGAAAGCCACUGCUAACUACGUGCCAGCCGCCGCGGUAA
Molecule: ribosomal RNA, 515 nt
Filed under: uncultured bacterium
Lineage: Bacteria
Description: partial 16S ribosomal RNA
Rfam family: Bacterial small subunit ribosomal RNA
Source: RNAcentral